RNAcentral lists this ribosomal RNA (902 nucleotides) under Xylaria longipes. RNAcentral describes it as "LSU rRNA". It matches the Rfam family "Eukaryotic large subunit ribosomal RNA", at positions 38 to 967 of the family's 3401-position model. Lineage: Eukaryota; Fungi; Ascomycota; Sordariomycetes; Xylariales; Xylariaceae. The record is from RNAcentral.
GCAUAUCAAUAAGCGGAGGAAAAGAAACCAACAGGGAUUGCCCUAGUAACGGCGAGUGAAGCGGCAACAGCUCAAAUUUGAAAUCUGGCCCUCGGGUCCGAGUUGUAAUUUGUAGAGGAUGCUUUUGGCGCGGUGCCUUCCGAGUUCCCUGGAACGGGACGCCUUAGAGGGUGAGAGCCCCGUACGGUUGGACACCAAGCCUCUGUAAAGCUCCUUCGACGAGUCGAGUAGUUUGGGAAUGCUGCUCUAAAUGGGAGGUAAAUUUCUUCUAAAGCUAAAUAUUGGCCAGAGACCGAUAGCGCACAAGUAGAGUGAUCGAAAGAUGAAAAGCACUUUGAAAAGAGGGUUAAAUAGCACGUGAAAUUGUUGAAAGGGAAGCGUUUGCGACCAGACCUUUUCCUAGGGGAUCAUCCGGUGUUCUCACCGGUGCACUUCCCUAGGUUCAGGCCAGCAUCGGUUUCUGUAGGGGGAUAAAAGCUCUGGGAACGUAGCUCCCUCGGGAGUGUUAUAGCCCUCUGCAUAAUACCCUUACGGGGACCGAGGACCGCGCUUCGGCAAGGAUGCUGGCGUAAUGGUCGUCAACGACCCGUCUUGAAACACGGACCAAGGAGUCGAACAUUUGUGCGAGUGUUUGGGUGUUAAACCCUCACGCGUAAUGAAAGUGAACGGAGGUGAGAGCCCUUACGGGUGCAUCAUCGACCGAUCCUGAUGUCUUCGGAUGGAUUUGAGUAAGAGCAUAACUGUUCGGACCCGAAAGAUGGUGAACUAUGCGUGGAUAGGGUGAAGCCAGAGGAAACUCUGGUGGAGGCUCGCAGCGGUUCUGACGUGCAAAUCGAUCGUCAAAUCUGCGCAUGGGGGCGAAAGACUUAUCGAACCAUCUAGUAGCUGGUUACCGCCGAAGU